Long non-coding RNA from Dreissena polymorpha, 341 nucleotides. RefSeq lists it as uncharacterized. The record is from RefSeq and is a predicted model, not a curated record. The transcript is spliced from 2 exons. NCBI's taxonomy places the organism in Eukaryota, Metazoa, Mollusca, Bivalvia, Myida, Dreissenidae.
CUGUAGCUGACCAGUUGAUGGAAGAUACUGCAGAGUUUGGCAGGGAAAUAACCCAAGACAGCAAAGCGGCUCUUUUGGCGCAUUUACCAAGAGGACUAACAUGGCCACAAAUUCAUGAGAUCAUGCAGGAGCCGUACAGUAUAACAGCAGUACAAGUUCUAUAAAAGAUCCACGACCUACUGAAGCCCAGCUAAUUAACAAAAAAGUUUUAAAAAACUGUAAUUUUAUCCCACCUGGGUACUUAUAAUUUACUAAGCUGCCUACACAAGUUUUAGACUUGCAAUUAUAUUUUAAAUUGUCACUUGGAAAGUAAUACAUGUACAUGCAUUAUGUUCUGAAUU